RNAcentral lists this ribosomal RNA (400 nucleotides) under uncultured microorganism. RNAcentral's name for it is "bacterial SSU rRNA". It matches the Rfam family "Bacterial small subunit ribosomal RNA", at positions 9 to 412 of the family's 1533-position model. The record is from RNAcentral.
GAGUUUGAUCUUGGCUCAGAUUGAACGCUGGCGGCAUGCCUUACACAUGCAAGUCGAACGGUAACAGGUCUUCGGAUGCUGACGAGUGGCGAACGGGUGAGUAAUACAUCGGAACGUGCCCAGACGUGGGGGGAUAACGAGGCGAAAGCUUUGCUAAUACCGCAUACGAUCUAAGGAUGAAAGCAGGGGACCGCAAGGCCUUGCGCGUUUGGAGCGGCCGAUGGCAGAUUAGGUAGUUGGUGGGAUAAAAGCUUACCAAGCCGACGAUCUGUAGCUGGUCUGAGAGGACGACCAGCCACACUGGGACUGAGACACGGCCCAGACUCCUACGGGAGGCAGCAGUGGGGAAUUUUGGACAAUGGGCGAAAGCCUGAUCCAGCAAUGCCGCGUGCAGGAUGAA